RNAcentral lists this transfer RNA (73 nucleotides) under Sandaracinus sp. RNAcentral describes it as "tRNA-Asn". It matches the Rfam family "tRNA". From Rfam's summary of the family: Transfer RNA (tRNA) molecules are approximately 80 nucleotides in length. The record is from RNAcentral. Lineage: Bacteria; Pseudomonadati; Myxococcota; Polyangiales; Sandaracinaceae.
UCCGGAAUAGCUCAGUUGGUAGAGCGGUCGACUGUUAAUCGAUUGGUCGCUGGUUCGAGUCCAGCUUCCGGAG